RNAcentral lists this ribosomal RNA (547 nucleotides) under uncultured Gammaproteobacteria bacterium. Its description in RNAcentral is "bacterial SSU rRNA". It matches the Rfam family "Bacterial small subunit ribosomal RNA", at positions 111 to 654 of the family's 1533-position model. Lineage: Bacteria; Pseudomonadati; Pseudomonadota; Gammaproteobacteria. The record is from RNAcentral.
UAAUGUCUGGGAAACUGCCUGAUGGAGGGGGAUAACUACUGGAAACGGUAGCUAAUACCGCAUAACGUCGCAAGACCAAUGAGGGGGACCUUCGGGCCUCUUGCCAUCAGAUGUGCCCAGAUGGGAUUAGCUAGUAGGUGGGGUAAUGGCUCACCUAGGCGACGAUCCCUAGCUGGUCUGAGAGGAUGACCAGCCACACUGGAACUGAGACACGGUCCAGACUCCUACGGGAGGCAGCAGUGGGGAAUAUUGCACAAUGGGCGCAAGCCUGAUGCAGCCAUACCGCGUGUAUGAAGAAGGCCUUCGGGUUGUAAAGUACUUUCAGCGGGGAGGAAGGUGUUGUGGUUAAUAACCGCAGCAAUUGACGUUACCCGCAGAAGAAGCACCGGCUAACUCCGUGCCAGCAGCCGCGGUAAUACGGAGGGUGCAAGCGUUAAUCGGAAUUACUGGGCGUAAAGCGCACGCAGGCGGUCUGUCAAGUCGGAUGUGAAAUCCCCGGGCUCAACCUGGGAACUGCAUUCGAAACUGGCAGGCUAGAGUCUUGUAG